This 774-nucleotide ribosomal RNA is filed under the name uncultured bacterium. RNAcentral's name for it is "bacterial SSU rRNA". It matches the Rfam family "Bacterial small subunit ribosomal RNA", at positions 8 to 796 of the family's 1533-position model. The record is from RNAcentral.
AGAGUUUGAUCCUGGCUCAGGAUGAACGCUGGCGGCGUGGAUAAGGCAUGCAAGUCAUGGGGACCCGCAAGGGUAACCGGCGAACGGGUUAGUAACACGUAGAUAACCAACCCCUGCCACGGCCAUAGCUCAUCGAAAGGUGAGGUAAUAGCCGAUGGUAUGUGAGUUAAAAUCCACAUUAAAGGUCUUCCGUAAGGAAGGCCGGACAGAGAUGGGUCUGCGGCCUAUCAGCUAGUUGGUAGGGUAAUGGCCUACCAAGGCGAUGACGGGUAGGGGAAGUGAGAGCUUGUUCCCCAACAAUGGUACUGCGACACGGACCAUACUCCUACGGGAGGCAGCAGUCGAGAAUAUUGGGCAAUGGGGGAAACCCUGACCCAGCGACGCCGCGUGCAGGAAGAAGGCCUUCGGGUUGUAAACUGCUUUUCUCCGUGAAGAACCCGCAAGGGUGACAGUAACGGAGGAAUAAGGAGAGGCAAAUUCUGUGCCAGCAGCAGCGGUAAUACAGAAUCUCCAAGCGUUAUCCGGAUUUAUUGGGCGUAAAGCGUCUGUAGGUGGCUAGACUAGUCUAAUGUUAAAUACCCUAGGCUCAACCUGGGGGGUGCCUUAGAUACUGUCUGGCUUGAGGGCGUUAGGGGCUGAUGGAACGGUCGGUGUAGGGGUGAAAUCCGUUGAUAUCGACCGGAACACCAAAAGCGAAGGCAUUCAGCUGGGGCGACCCUGACACUGAGAGACGAAAGCGUGGGGAGCAAAAAGGAUUAGAUACCCUGGUAGUCC